GAUGAACGCUGGCGGCGUGCCUAAUACAUGCAAGUCGAGCGAACAGAUGAGGAGCUUGCUCCUCUGACGUUAGCGGCGGACGGGUGAGUAACACGUGGAUAACCUACCUAUAAGACUGGGAUAACUUCGGGAAACCGGAGCUAAUACCGGAUAAUAUAUUGAACCGCAUGGUUCAAUAGUGAAAGACGGUUUUGCUGUCACUUAUAGAUGGAUCCGCGCCGCAUUAGCUAGUUGGUAAGGUAACGGCUUACCAAGGCAACGAUGCGUAGCCGACCUGAGAGGGUGAUCGGCCACACUGGAACUGAGACACGGUCCAGACUCCUACGGGAGGCAGCAGUAGGGAAUCUUCCGCAAUGGGCGAAAGCCUGACGGAGCAACGCCGCGUGAGUGAUGAAGGUCUUCGGAUCGUAAAACUCUGUUAUUAGGGAAGAACAAAUGUGUAAGUAACUAUGCACGUCUUGACGGUACCUAUCAGAAAGCCACGGCUAACUACGUG
This 496-nucleotide ribosomal RNA is filed under the name uncultured bacterium. RNAcentral describes it as "partial 16S ribosomal RNA". It matches the Rfam family "Bacterial small subunit ribosomal RNA", at positions 28 to 507 of the family's 1533-position model. The record is from RNAcentral.